UUUUUUUUUUUUUUUUUUUUUUUUGGCUGCACCUGUGGCAUAUGGAAGUUCCCAAGCCAGGGACUGAACUUGAGUCCCAGCUGCGGCCUAUGCCUUAGGUGUGGCAAUGGAACAUCUUUAACCCACUGCGACAGGCCAGGGGCGAACCUGCACUGCCACUGAGACAAUGUCGCAUCUUAACCUGCUGUGCUGCAGCAGCAACUCCCAGGCUUUCAGAGCCUUGAAUGCUGACUCAAGUAGCUAGUCUUUCCCCUAAGAGCAAUGGGAGCCUCAGAAAGAGCCUUAUUAAUAUUAUUAUUAUUAUUAUUAUUAAUUGCUUUUUAGGGCCGUACCUGCAGCACGUAGAGAUUCCCAGGCUAGGGGUCGAAUCAGAGCUACAGCUGCCAGCCUACAUCACAGCCACAGCAACACCAGAUCCCAGCCGCAUCUGAGACCUACACCACAGCUUGGAUGCCAUGUUGCUGCCGCUGGGAACAUCCAUAGCUGUGGGUGCGGCCCUAAAAAGACCAAAAAAAAAAAAAAAGCUGAUUUUGAUUCAGCGGGUCUGGUUUGGGGGGGAGGCCCCAACUGCUGGUCCUCGGUCCAAACUUUGGGGGGCUCAGAGUGGACCUGCCCUGUGGAGGCGGGAGCUGGGGAUGGCGUGGCCCAGGGGCAUCACUAGGGUCAGCCUGUGCUCUUCCCCUAGUGGUGGGCUGAGCAGUGGGCGUGGCCUUGGAUCCGAGGCAGUAGAUGCUGUCACACUCUUCACCUUCCCUGGGGACACUUCAGGCUAUCAUUGUUCCCAAGGUGCCAGAACAUUCUAACCAGAGGACUGGUCCAGCACUUCUGUUACCUCGGGGUCUCAGAGAGGGAAUUCUUCCAGGUAGGGCCUCUGGGGUGGUGUCCUCAGAUGCCCCCCCCAUGGAAUGCGCCCCUAAGUCUUGGCCUCGGGGCCCUGGGGGCCUGGCCGGAGGUGCUGAAGUGGGAGAGGAAGGAAGCGGGGAGCAGAGGAGGCCAAGGCUGUCGCCUCCCAGCCGCGAGAGGGGCCUCAAGUAAACAGGAAAGCCUGGCGGCUCCACGGUUGGGGGGGCUUUUGGGGCGGGUGUAAAGCCCUACUGGACAUGCGCAGCCUGCAAGCACAGGGCUUCUUCUCUGGCAAGCAGACUCAGAGAGGUUGCGUGGCUUGCCCCAGGUCACACAGCGAGGCAGGACCACAGGGCUAGACCCUAGCCUGUCUCUCCUGCUUCUGCCAAUUUCCUGGGAUUCCGGUGCAGGGUCUCCUGCCUCUGCUGCCCACCGUGGUUCAUGGGGUGCCUCAGUUACCCUUUCUAUGAUCUCGGGACGCCGACAACUCAGAGGCUCUAGAAUCCUGGCCUGUGGAAUCCUCCUGCCUUCUAGGUGGUUUUCCCGGGCUCUCUAGACCUCGGGGAACACCGGGUACUGGGACCAUUCCC
This 1433-nucleotide long non-coding RNA is filed under the name Sus scrofa (pig). RNAcentral's name for it is "lncRNA (ENSSSCG00035023365.1)". Lineage: Eukaryota; Metazoa; Chordata; Mammalia; Artiodactyla; Suidae. The record is from RNAcentral.